GACGAACGCUGGCGGCGUGCUUAACACAUGCAAGUCGAACGGAAAGGCCCUGCUUUUGUGGGGUUCUCGAGUGGCGAACGGGUGAGUAACACGUGAGUAACCUGCCCUUGACUUUGGGAUAACUUCAUGAAACUGGGGCUAAUACCGGAUAGGAGCUCCUGCUGCAUGGUGGGGGUUGGAAAGUUUCGGCGGUUGGGGAUGGACUCGCGUCUUAUCAGCUUGUUGGUGGGGUAGUGGCUUACCAAGGCUUUGACGGGUAGCCGGACUGAGAGGGUGACCGGCCACAAUGGGACUGAGAUACGGCCCAGACUGCUACGGGAGGCAGGAGUGGGGAAUAGUGCAAAAUGGGCGGAAGCCUGAUGCAGCAACGCCGCGUGCGGGAUGACGGCCUUCGGGUUGUAAACCGCUUUCGCCUGUGACGAAGCGUGAGUGACGGUAAUGGGUAAAGAAGCACCGGCUAACUACGUG
This 468-nucleotide ribosomal RNA is filed under the name uncultured bacterium. Its description in RNAcentral is "partial 16S ribosomal RNA". It matches the Rfam family "Bacterial small subunit ribosomal RNA", at positions 28 to 507 of the family's 1533-position model. The record is from RNAcentral.